This 253-nucleotide ribosomal RNA is filed under the name uncultured bacterium. RNAcentral describes it as "partial 16S ribosomal RNA". It matches the Rfam family "Bacterial small subunit ribosomal RNA", at positions 524 to 776 of the family's 1533-position model. The record is from RNAcentral.
GACGAACCGUGCGAACGUUGUUCGGAAUCACUGGGCUUAAAGGGCGCGUAGGCGGGCCACCGAGUCCGCGGUGAAAUCCCCCGGCUCAACCGGGGAACGGCCGUGGAUACUGGGGGCCUGGAGGCGGGUAGGGGCGGGCGGAACUCUGGGUGGAGCGGUGAAAUGCGUUGAUAUCCAGAGGAACUCCGGUGGCGAAGGCGGCCCGCUGGACCCGAUCUGACGCUGAGGCGCGAAAGCCAGGGGAGCGAACGGG